RNAcentral lists this ribosomal RNA (466 nucleotides) under Porphyromonas gulae. Its description in RNAcentral is "bacterial SSU rRNA". It matches the Rfam family "Bacterial small subunit ribosomal RNA", at positions 9 to 465 of the family's 1533-position model. Lineage: Bacteria; Pseudomonadati; Bacteroidota; Bacteroidia; Bacteroidales; Porphyromonadaceae. The record is from RNAcentral.
GAGUUUGAUUCUGGCUCAGGAUGAACGCUAGCGAUAGGCUUAACACAUGCAAGUCGAGGGGCAGCAUGAUCUUAGCUUGCUAAGGUUGAUGGCGACCGGCGCACGGGUGCGUAACGCGUAUGCAACUUGCCUUACAGAGGGGGAUAACCCGUUGAAAGACGGACUAAUACCGCAUACACUUGUUUGGUUGCAUGAUCGGGCAAGGAAAUAUUUAUAGCUGUAAGAUAGGCAUGCGUCCCAUUAGCUGGUUGGUGAGGUAACGGCUCACCAAGGCUACGAUGGGUAGGGGAACUGAGAGGUUUAUCCCCCACACUGGUACUGAGACACGGACCAGACUCCUACGGGAGGCAGCAGUGAGGAAUAUUGGUCAAUGGGCGAGAGCCUGAACCAGCCAAGUCGCGUGAAGGAAGACUGUCCUAAGGAUUGUAAACUUCUUUUAUACGGGAAUAAACGGGCGAUACGUGUA